Molecule: long non-coding RNA, 853 nt
Organism: Papaver somniferum (opium poppy)
Lineage: Eukaryota; Viridiplantae; Streptophyta; Magnoliopsida; Ranunculales; Papaveraceae
Exons: 4
Source: RefSeq, a predicted model, not a curated record
UAAAGUACAACCACAUAUAUAUGUGUUGGAUUUGUAUUCCAUCAUAAUGCAGAAACAUCAAAACAAAAAGGAAAUGAAAUUCCAUCAAAGUCUCCUCAUCAUUCUCCUCGAUUAACUAUAAAAUUAAGGGUAAAAAAUUUAUGAAAACGUCUGUGUUCUUCGUUCUUCUCGAUUAACUUAACAUAUCACCGAAACAAAAAUACAGCAAAACGAAGAUUUGGGUAUUUUUUUCCCCUUGCCAAUCAUCCAUGACAAAGGUGGUAGCAGAUGAACAAGAUAAACGACGAAACUUCGGAGAGAAUUCCCAAGUGGUUGUAGCUGCAGAGAUCUGGGAAAGCUUUAGGUUGUAUGGUAAGGCAGCUUUUGAAUGAUCAGUUUGAAAGCUACAGAGCCACGAUGGCUAAGAAGUUGAUCGAUAGACAAUUGUCUAUCAUUAAGGUGGCUUGGAAGGCACAAAUGAUAGAAGCAGAUGGCUAUGUAUUGAAAUCGGCUAGACAGGUGAAGAUAUCAGAUUAUUUAACGAUAACGAAAUUCAACCAGAUGCGCAUACUGGAAGCUUAUAUGUGGCUUUGCUGAACUUGGUUGGUUUUUUUGCUUUCCAUACACUCUUUUUUACUAAGAAGAAGGGAUGCGAAUGGUGAUACUUGCUUUGUAUUUCCUUUUAUUCAUUUUCCUUUUGUACUUUUACGCAAGCCGGUUUUGGUUGUCCAGAUAGUCAUAUAUGGGAUUGUUCGUUGGUUAAUUUUCAAUUAUAUCUACCAUUAUUAGUUUACCCGAUUUUUCUUAAUUAGUCUUCUUUGAAAAGCAUAAUCAUGCUCAAUGUCUAAAUGUUUGUAACACUCUUUGUAUUAAA